AAGACCUUGUGCUUUUGGAGCGGCCGAUGCCUGAUUAGCUAGUUGGUAGGGUAAAGGCCUACCAAGGCUACGAUCAGUAGUUGGUCUGAGAGGACGACCAGCCACACUGGGACUGAGACACGGCCCAGACUCCUACGGGAGGCAGCAGUGGGGAAUUUUGGACAAUGGGCGAAAGCCUGAUCCAGCAAUGCCGCGUGAGUGAAGAAGGCCUUCGGGUUGUAAAGCUCUUUCAGUCGAGAAGAAAAAGUUGUGACUAAUAAUCACAAUUUAUGACGGUACCGACAGAAGAAGCACCGGCUAACUACGUGCCAGCAGCCGCGGUAAUACGUAGGGCGCAAGCGUUAAUCGGAAUUACUGGGCGUAAAGGGUGCGCAGGCGGCUCUGUAAGUCAGAUGUGAAAUCCCCGGGCUUAACCUGGGAAUU
This 423-nucleotide ribosomal RNA is filed under the name uncultured bacterium. Its description in RNAcentral is "bacterial SSU rRNA". It matches the Rfam family "Bacterial small subunit ribosomal RNA", at positions 202 to 622 of the family's 1533-position model. The record is from RNAcentral.